CUUUGUAAAUGCGCAGUUACCGGUUCCUUAAUUGGGGCUGGAGGAAAGUCCGGACAAUAUAAGGAAAGGGAAGUCUCUAACGGAGAUCGGUGCGGAACCUAACAAGACCGCAUUAGGGAAAGUGCCACAGAGACAAUACUAUUUCUCACUUCGGUGAGAGAAAAAGGUGAAAAGUCCCGCUAAGCGGGGACAUUAUGCGUUUCUUUGGGGUCAAACCCCAUGAAACGGUCAGAAGUUGGUAAACCCUUCCCGUUGCAAGGUGAGACUGGUAAUCAAGGACAACUUUUAUCCUUAAAAGCUUGAUUACUCACCGCUCGAGUUCGUCAGCAAUGGCGAACCCAGACAGAUGACUGCUUAAAUACAAAAUCCGGCUUAUAGUUUAUGGGGGACA
RNAcentral lists this RNase P RNA (391 nucleotides) under Candidatus Peregrinibacteria bacterium. Its description in RNAcentral is "RNase P RNA component class A". It matches the Rfam family "Bacterial RNase P class A". Rfam says of the family: Ribonuclease P (RNase P) is a ubiquitous endoribonuclease, found in archaea, bacteria and eukarya as well as chloroplasts and mitochondria. Lineage: Bacteria; Candidatus Peregrinibacteriota. The record is from RNAcentral.